ACAUUUAUCUGGCAGUGGAUUUACCAUUAUCAUGAAGAUGGUUUUCCUAGGGUGAGGCUUAUCUACUUCAUUCAGGAUGUGCUGACCUCUUGGAUUGCCUCAAACGUAGGAAACUCAGCUGAAUAAUUUGUGGUAGUAGGGGACUGUAUUCACACUCUCCCCUG
Molecule: small nuclear RNA, 164 nt
Organism: Cricetulus griseus (Chinese hamster)
Lineage: Eukaryota; Metazoa; Chordata; Mammalia; Rodentia; Cricetidae
Gene: U1
Rfam family: U1 spliceosomal RNA
About the family: U1 is a small nuclear RNA (snRNA) component of the spliceosome (involved in pre-mRNA splicing). Its 5' end forms complementary base pairs with the 5' splice junction, thus defining the 5' donor site of an intron. There are significant differences in sequence and secondary structure between metazoan and yeast U1 snRNAs, the latter being much longer (568 nucleotides as compared to 164 nucleotides in human).
Source: Ensembl